Molecule: long non-coding RNA, 785 nt
Filed under: Nicotiana benthamiana
Lineage: Eukaryota; Viridiplantae; Streptophyta; Magnoliopsida; Solanales; Solanaceae
Description: long non-coding RNA (NBEN_LNC013334)
Source: RNAcentral
AGAGGGAUUACUCGUCCAAAAAGGCAAUAUUGGUGGAGGGGUUAAAGGCAGCUGGUUUCACAGUAUACCCCUCGAGUGGAACGUACUUUGUGGUUGUUGAUCACACUCCUUUUGGGCUAGAAAAUGACAUUGCCUUCUGUGAAUACCUGAUCAAGGAAGUUGGUGUUGUAGCAAUUCCAACUAGCGUAUUUUAUUUAAAUCCAGAAGAAGGAAAGAAUCUUGUCAGGUUUACCUUAUUAGAAAAUGACAUUGCCUUCUGCGAACACCUGAUCAAGGAAGUUGGUGUUGUAGCCAUUCCAACUAGCGUAUUCUAUCUAAAUCCAGAAGAAGGAAAGAAUCUUGUCAGGUUUACCUUCUGCAAAGAUGAUGAUACUCUUAAAAAUGCAGUGCAGAGGAUGAAGCAGAAGCUGUCAAAGAAGUGAGGAGCUGUAAGAGAGACAUCAUCUCUUAUUGUUCUGGCAUGAAUUGUUUGUAAAUGUGAUAAUUACUUGUACAUUGUUUGCUGAUAGUCAUUUUCUGAAAGGUGAGGCUCAAUAAGAACUUAGCAUGUUGUAACCCUGUAAACGUAGGAACGGGAAGCAGUUGGAGAUAUAAUGCCCAUUCUUGAUAUUAUGAAACUGCCCCAACCCUCCCCAAAGCCACACUUCCUCCGGAGGUCUCUCUUCUUAAUUAAUAGAUAGGGGAAACAUAACACAUUUCACUUCAACUUCAAAACAUCUUUGCAAAUUGAGAGUAUGAUUGAUUGCUUAUUAUGUGACAAACAGGAAAUUUUAUUUUGUAGUACU